UGGACAGGGGGGUUCCCGCCCACCGGCAGGACCUGUCCGAACGGGCCGCGGGCGCCAGCGCCGAGCGGCCCCUGGUCGUCGCUCGGGGGUGGUCGCCG
This 98-nucleotide small RNA is filed under the name Streptomyces sp. CC53. RNAcentral describes it as "che1 RNA". It matches the Rfam family "che1 RNA". The record is from Rfam by way of RNAcentral. Lineage: Bacteria; Bacillati; Actinomycetota; Actinomycetes; Kitasatosporales; Streptomycetaceae.